Molecule: long non-coding RNA, 667 nt
Organism: Sardina pilchardus (European sardine)
Lineage: Eukaryota; Metazoa; Chordata; Actinopteri; Clupeiformes; Clupeidae
Exons: 3
Source: RefSeq, a predicted model, not a curated record
GAAGUUCUUAGCACUUAAGAGCUUCUUAAUGAAUCUGGGAAACCCGGCCAUUGUUUGUACAACUGGUGAUAAUCUCCAGGAUACAGGGGACAUAUGGAAAGCAAAAAAUUAUCAGGCUUCAGGGUUUGAACUCUUGAAAACAAGAACAGACAAUGGAAUCGUCAAGCGCCAAUCCACCAUCUUACUUUAAGUGGUCCAUCUUCACAACAUUAUGCUGCUGUUUGCCACUGGGAGUUAUUGCCCUCUUCUUCUCAAAUCAGGUUAACACCGCAAACACGGCGGGAGACACCACUAAAGCAGCAGAAGCAUCUCGGAAAGCUAAAAUUAUGAACAUAAUUGGAGUCGUCACCGGGGCCAUUUUUAUCACAAUUAUUAUUAUCAUAUAUGCAAUUAACAUCAGUGCAGUCUUAGCCAUUAGUUCCUGAUUCUUCUGAAAUGAAUAAGAUUGCUUCACAAAAUCACACCCAUGAUUUGUCAUAAAUGGCAUUCUUUAGACACAGACACAGCUGAGAACAAAUGAAAUCAUGAAUCACAGACCAAGAGAAAGAAAUGUGAAGAUGUGUUUCCACUGUCCAAACACAACAAACUCAUAAAACAGUGUCUUGGCCAACUUCAUCAUGUUUAAUUGUAAUAAAAUGCAUGUAUUAAAUUCUCCUUUUAUAAUCUG